This is a long non-coding RNA of Elaeis guineensis (African oil palm), 1346 nucleotides long. RefSeq lists it as uncharacterized. The record is from RefSeq and is a predicted model, not a curated record. NCBI's taxonomy places the organism in Eukaryota, Viridiplantae, Streptophyta, Magnoliopsida, Arecales, Arecaceae.
CCAGGAGCAACUGUAUCAGCCUACCUUGAUCAUUAUUUAUUUGUUUCUCUUCCCCUUCUCUCUCUUUUUCGCCCUUCCUAGAGCCCUUUCGAUCGUUCCGGUCAUCCUCGAUCUCUCGGCCUAGCUCCGAGACGGAUUCUUCUUCUUGCGAUUUUUCCAAGGGUUUUGAUGCGCCGAUCGCUGGGCGACGUCCGAAUGUUGAUGACUCGCAGAGAUUCAUCGGAUAGCAGUGAUUCUCGAAAUGAGGAUGAUGAUGAUCUGAAAUUCUGGUAUGGCGAACAAAGGGAAGCUGCUAAGCCAAGGGGUGCAAAGCAAAAAUCUAGUGUAGCUGGCUCUCCUUCACCAAGCUAGAGAUCAACACAUGGUCGACUUGCAUGUAAUCGUGGUCUCCAUCUGCACACUAAAGGAAGACUGUCGUACUUCGGUUACAAAUUACAACCUUUCAUCAACUUUCUAAUAUGGAACUUAGUCACUAAUCCGGCCUCUUCUGUAGUUCCUAACAGCCUACCUUCACCCUUUCAUAUAACUGUGUUACAUCUAGCUAGCUGUCCCUAUCAACAUCACAGUCAAGCAAUUUCCUCACCCCAUGUCUUCUGAUGCCCAAUCAGCUUUAAGCCAUUGGAGUCCCAUCACUCUUCCUUCUCCUACUUCAAAUUUGAACUCGACUUUGGUAGACGAGCAACCUUUGGAGAACAGUGAGCAAACCUUAUUGGUACCUGCUUCUACUAUCUUUGCUAGGAUCCUAGAUGUUUUAAAAGCACCGAUUGACCCGAUUACACUCCCUACCACUCUUUACUCCAACGGUGGCCUACCCACCCACCCACUAAAAAGGACUGUCAGCCUCAACAGCCAACGACGCUCAGAAUUUCAAAACGAAGUGCAAGACUGAGGACAAAAGAGGUAAGGCCUUGGGACUAAUUGAAGACUCUCUUAAUGAAGCGGACAUCUUCUUUAUCAACUCCCUCAAGAAUGCUGAGCUCAUCAAGCUUGGCAGCCAGUGUGGACUCCUUCUCAAUCAAACCAAUCAGAUUACGGCCACUGGAAAACUUAGGGAGAUGGAGCUUCGUCGAUGCAAAAUGCCUGUUGCUCCAACCACGACUCCAUGAGACAACUACACAACUUACAGUGCUGUCUGUGUGCUUCAAAACAAACUGGCAAGGACAUGGUCACAUAGACUUUUGGUCCCUCUACUCUUUCACAAAUAUGUCUUAUGCUUUCUCCUACCCUACCAAAUCCCUAGCUUAGAAGUUUUUUUGGUUUGAAAUGUAUGCAGCUUCCAACAGCUGCUUUUCAUUGCAUCGGCCUGUACAAACACUAUCUAUCAUUAAUACAGUUCUUUAGUUUAA